GAUGAACGCUGGCGGCGUGCCUAAUACAUGCAAGUCGAGCGAACAGAUGAGGAGCUUGCUCCUCUGACGUUAGCGGCGGACGGGUGAGUAACACGUGGAUAACCUACCUAUAAGACUGGGAUAACUUCGGGAAACCGGAGCUAAUACCGGAUAAUAUAUUGAACCGCAUGGUUCAAUAGUGAAAGACGGUUUUGCUGUCACUUAUAGAUGGAUCCGCGCCGCAUUAGCUAGUUGGUAAGGUAACGGCUUACCAAGGCAACGAUGCGUAGCCGACCUGAGAGGGUGAUCGGCCACACUGGAACUGAGACACGGUCCAGACUCCUACGGGAGGCAGCAGUAGGGAAUCUUCCGCAAUGGGCGAAAGCCUGACGGAGCAACGCCGCGUGGGUGAAGAAGGUCUUCGGAUCGUAAAACUCUGUUAUUGGGGAAGAACAAAUGUGUAAGUAACUAUGCACGUCUUGACGGUACCUAAUCAGAAAGCCACGGCUAACUACGUG
Molecule: ribosomal RNA, 497 nt
Filed under: uncultured bacterium
Lineage: Bacteria
Description: partial 16S ribosomal RNA
Rfam family: Bacterial small subunit ribosomal RNA
Source: RNAcentral